GCUGGGGCUCGGUGCCUGCACUAUGAAUCCACUGCUCCUUGAGGCCAUUUUUCCCUUUUUUUUUUGCCCUUGUUUGUUGUUACUAUUAUUGUUGUUGUUGUUGGAUAGGACAGAGAGAAAUGUAGAGAGAUAGGGAAGUCAGAGAGAGGGAGAGAAAGAUAGACACGUGCAGACCUGCUUCACUGCAUGUGAAGCAACUCCCCUGCAGGUGGGGAGCUGGGGUCUCGAACCGGGAUCCUUCCAUUGGUCCUUGCACUUUGUGCCACGUGCACUUAACCCACUGUGCUACUGCCCAGCCCCCAGGCUUUCUCUUUCUAGAGGUACCACAUGGUUGUUAAUGCUUGGAAUGGCAAUAGGGUAGAAUUAUUAAUCAAAGACGUAUCUUUUAUAUCUGAAGACUAUCCUUCCUUCAGGGUUUAAUAGACUGAGUCAGAUGGGUCUGAUGUUAAUCAAAAUUGUUUCUUCUGAGGAAGGCUGAUAAGCAUUGACUUGCUGUCCCCUAGGGACACCCAGGGAGCUACAAAGCACUGCUUUCGUUUUCCCUUCAGUUAAUGUUGCAUUUUGGUUGGUGAGUGCACACUUCUACCUGUGCGUACUUCUUGCAUUUGCAUGUCUCAUUUCCCGAUUAAAGCUAUGUUAAGUAGAAGGGAUUUUAAAGGAGAAGCCCUUUGUUUCCCUUGCUUUGUUUGAAUAAACAGUAUAUUCUCUG
Molecule: long non-coding RNA, 709 nt
Organism: Erinaceus europaeus (western European hedgehog)
Lineage: Eukaryota; Metazoa; Chordata; Mammalia; Eulipotyphla; Erinaceidae
Exons: 2
Source: RefSeq, a predicted model, not a curated record